CGUGGCUGAUUUCUAAGCAUCACUCCUUGUGAAGACCAGGAAGGAAUGUUUUUGCACUCUCACCCUGACUAAAGUGGUCCUCAAGUCAGUCUAGGGUCUGAAGCAUUGAGGACACUCGGGAGGAGUCGUCAGAGGGUCUCAGAGGAAUCUAGCUCAGAAGGAGAGGUUGAGGCAAUCAAGAUGGUUCAUCUCUAUAAAGAGAAGGCUGAGGGGAUACCAAAUGUCUUUCUUUAAAUACCUGAAAUUGUUCUUGAGAGCGACUGGUGAAUAUGCCACUUAAAACCUUGGAUCAAGGACUUUUCUCAGGCACGAGGAAGCACUCCCUCCUCCGGACGGAUGCAAGCACUGGCAUGGAGCCCGCAGGGGACCUGGCUGCCUCUAAGACGUGGUGAGUACGGGGACAGGCCCCAGCUCUGCUGGCUGACCAGGCACAGCCCUACCAUGGAGUGGGUGGACGAGAUGGCCUCCCAUCGGGGCCUGGGAAUCACCUCCUCUGCUGGCCCAGCAGGUUCUCUCCCAUGCUGCUGCUGUGAUGAGUCUCACUCUGUCACCAAGGCUGGAAUGCAGCGGGGUGAUCUCGGCUCACUGCAACCUCUGCUUCCCAAGUUCAAGUGAUUCUCCUGCCUCAGCCUCCCAAGUAGCUGGGACCACAGGACCACAGAUGGGUGUCAUCAUUCCUGGCUAAUUUUUUAAAUGGAGAUGGGGUUUUGUCAUGUUGGCCAGGCUAGUCUUGAACUCCUGACGUCAGAUGAUCCAUCCACCUUGGCCUCCCAAAGUACUGGAAUUACAGGCAUGAGCCACUGCACCCAGCUGAUGAGCCCAUCUUGACACCUGACUACUAACUCAAGGCAUGGCUUACAUUGGAUUCACUCUUUGUGUACAGUUUUACGGAUUUUGACAAAUUAUAGUGUCACCCAGAAAAGCUUCACUGACCUAAAAAUCCCCUGUGCUCCACCUACCCAUAAUUCCCCCUCUUUCCCAAUCCCUGGCAACCACUGAUUUUUUUACUGUCUUCAUAGUUUUGCCAUUUUCAUAAUGUUACCGUGUUGGGCUACUCUUGUGUUGCUAUAAAGAAAAAUCUGAGACUGAGUACUUCAUAAAGAAAAGAGGUUUAAUUGGCUCAUGGUUCUGCAGGAUGUACAGGAAGCAGGGUGCUGGCAUCUGCUCAGCUUCUGGCAAGGCCUCAGGAAACUUACAAUCUUAUAAAGAUGAAGAAAGAGCAGGGAUCUCACAUGGCCAGAGCAGGAACAAAAGGUUGGGGAGAUCUCGUGAGAACUCACUCAGGAUUGCAAGGAUAGUACUAAGCCAUGAGGGAUCUGCCCCCAUGACCCAAACACCUUUCACCAGGCCCCACUUCCACUGGGGAUUAUAACUCCAUAUGAGAUUUAGAGAGGACAAAUUCAAACUAUAUCAGCCAUAUAGUUGGAAUUAUGCAGUAUGUAAUGUUUUCAGAUUGACAUCUUUACUUAGCAAUACACCUUUAAGUUUCCUCGAUGUCUUUCCAUAGCUCAACCACUCAUUUCUUUUUAGCACUGAAUAAUAUUCUGUUGUCUGGAUGUACCACAGUUUAUUUAUAUGUAUCACAUGCUGAAGGCAUCUUGAUUGCUUCCAAGUUUUGGAAAUUAUAAACAAAGCAGCUAUAACCAUCUUUGUGCAUGUUUUUGUGAAUAUGUAAGUUUUCAACUCAUCUGGGUAAACCAAAGCAAUAUGAUUAUUAAAUUGUAUAUUCAGAGCAUAUUUAGUUUUGUAAAAGAUUGCCAAACUGUCUUUCAAAGUGGCGAUAGCAUUGUGCAUUCCCACCAGCAAUUAAUGAGAGUUCCUGUUGCUCCACAUCCUCGUCAGCAUUUGGGGAUGUCAGUGUUUUGGAUUUUGUCAUUCUAAUAAGUGUGUAGUGGUAUCUCACUGUUUAAAUUUGCUGUUCCAUAAUGGCAUAUGAUGU
Callithrix jacchus (white-tufted-ear marmoset) is the source of this 1939-nucleotide long non-coding RNA. NCBI's taxonomy places the organism in Eukaryota, Metazoa, Chordata, Mammalia, Primates, Cebidae. The record is from Ensembl.